AACGAACGCUGGCGGCAUGCCUAACACAUGCAAGUCGAACGAGAUCUUCGGGUGUAGUGUCGCACGGGUGCGUAACGCGUGGGAAUCUGCCAUUUGGUUCGGAAUAACAGUUGGAAACGACUGCUAAUACCGGAUGAUGACGAAAAUCCAAAUAUUUAUCGUCGGAAGGUGGGCCCGCGUAGGAUUAGCUAGUUAGUGUGGUAAAGGCGCACCAAGGCGUCGAUCCUUAGGUGGUCUGAGAGGAUGAUCAUCCACACUGGGACUGAGACACGGCCCAGACUCCUACGGGAGGCAGCAGUGGGGAAUAUUGGACAAUGGGCGAAAUCCUGAUCCAGCAAUGCCGCGUGAGUGAUGAAGGCCUUAGGGUUGUAAAGCUCUUUUCCCCGGGAUGAUAAUGACAGUACCGGGAGAAUAAGCUCCGGCUAACUCCGUGCCAGCCGCCGCAGUAA
This 449-nucleotide ribosomal RNA is filed under the name uncultured bacterium. Its description in RNAcentral is "partial 16S ribosomal RNA". It matches the Rfam family "Bacterial small subunit ribosomal RNA", at positions 29 to 523 of the family's 1533-position model. The record is from RNAcentral.